GACGAACGCUGACGGCGUGCUUAACACAUGCAAGUCGAAGGGAGUGGCGAACGGGUGAGUAACACGUGAGUAACCUGCCCAUUUAUUUGGGAUAAGCCUGGACAACUGGGUCUAAUCAUGGAUGGAUUGGGAUGGGCUCGCGGCUGAUCAGCUUGUUGGUGGGGUGAUGGCUUCCCAAGGCUUUGACGGGUAGCCGGCCGGAGAGGGGUGUCGGUCAUUAUUGUACUGUGAUACGGCCCAGACUCCGACGGGAGGCAGCAGUGGGGUAUAUUGCACAAUGGACGAAAGUCUGAUGCAGCGACGUCGUGGGGGGGAUGAAGGUCUUCGGGUUGUAAACUCCUUUCGCCCGCGGAAUGGUAGUGGGUAAAGAAGCGCCUGCUAACUACGUGCCAGCAGCCGCGGUAAUAC
Molecule: ribosomal RNA, 408 nt
Filed under: uncultured bacterium
Lineage: Bacteria
Description: partial 16S ribosomal RNA
Rfam family: Bacterial small subunit ribosomal RNA
Source: RNAcentral